GGCGACCGCUUUUCCGCAAGGAAGGGAGGAAAGUCCGGGCUCCAUAGGGUAAAGCGCCAGGUAACGCCUGGGGGGCGAGAGCCUACGGAAAGUGCAACAGAAAAUAUACCGCCUAAGCAGCUCUGCUGCCGGUAAGGUUGAAAUGGUGCGGUAAGAGCGCACCGCGCAACUGGUAACAGCUUGCGGCAUGGUAAACCCCGCUUGGAGCAAGGCCAAAUAGGAAUCCGAUGCUGUGACCCGCAGUGGAUUCGGGUAGGCUGCUUGAGGCCUGCGGUGACGCAGGUCCCAGAUGAAUGGUCGUCCUCGACAGAACCCGGCUUAUAGGCCGACUCA
RNAcentral lists this RNase P RNA (333 nucleotides) under Pseudo-nitzschia fraudulenta. Its description in RNAcentral is "partial Bacterial RNase P class A". It matches the Rfam family "Bacterial RNase P class A". Rfam says of the family: Ribonuclease P (RNase P) is a ubiquitous endoribonuclease, found in archaea, bacteria and eukarya as well as chloroplasts and mitochondria. Its best characterised activity is the generation of mature 5'-ends of tRNAs by cleaving the 5'-leader elements of precursor-tRNAs. Cellular RNase Ps are ribonucleoproteins. Lineage: Eukaryota; Bacillariophyta; Bacillariophyceae; Bacillariales; Bacillariaceae. The record is from RNAcentral.